Molecule: long non-coding RNA, 1022 nt
Organism: Rhododendron vialii
Lineage: Eukaryota; Viridiplantae; Streptophyta; Magnoliopsida; Ericales; Ericaceae
Exons: 5
Source: RefSeq, a predicted model, not a curated record
CAAGGACCGCAAGCUCGUCCACGACGUCCCCGCAGUCUACUUCGUCCAACCCACUCAAGCCAACAUCGACCUCAUAGCCGCCGCCGCCUCCCGAUUCUCUACGAUUCGUUCCAACUCAAUUUCUCGUCUUCUAUUUCUGUGCUUCAUGUCAUUGUCGGCAUGUCGUAGAAGAGAAGAUGAGAUCGGCUUCUUCCCCUUCCUGGUCUUCUGUGAGAACCCUAGAAAAGAAUCGAGAUGGUGGAUCUAAGUAGAGUGCCGCUCAGAUAUGGAAAGCUCGUAAUCAGCAAAACUUUGUCAGAUACUGGGUUUUCGCUGCUUCCUGACAGAGACUGCGGGUAGAGCUUUGCCGUAUCUCGAUUUGGAAGGAGAGAAGAGCGCCAUUGGAUUCGAUGGACUUUUUCAGGUGUGGGCUUGACUACGUACUUAACUGCUAAGCAGAUUUAAGGCUUGUGGACAUACACUAAGAUGCACUCUACCGCUAAAAUACACCAAUUUGCAAAGAUUGGUGUCAGAAACAAUACGAGUACUAAACAACAAGGGGUUAGAGUUUCACAAAUGGAGCGGUGACCUUUCUCAACUACUGCAGAAUGUGAAGGAGAAGCUGAAUAGAGUUGUGGUGGUAAAUAAAUAUGCUGGAGUGUUGGUGCUUUUUAUUAGUAUAAUUAGAUAGGCACAUAGAUGAACUUAUACAGUUAAAGAUAUACAGAGAGAGGAAGCAGGCCAAAGACAUGAGAAAGAGAAAGGGAGAUGGCAGUGGCGUUGGAUUCCGCAGUAGGGGGUGGUAGCCACUUUGGUGGAUUGAUGAUUGCUAGAGGGGAUGUGUGUACAUAUGAGUUGCAACAAGUUUUCAUUAUCCUGAUCAACCAUAUAGAAAGUCAAUGGUGGGCGAGCUGUAUGUAGUAUAAAUUUUGUGCGCUUGAAUCAAUUGCUGCAGCUACGGACUUUUUCCAAUUGUUCUCAUUAGUUACCUCCUUUUCUACUUCCACUUGUUCUUUUUUUUUUUUUUGGCCGAGGCUAAUACU